CGAACCUUCGGGUUAGUGGCGGACGGGUGAGUAACGCGUGAGAAUCUGCCCUCAGGAGGGGGAUAACAGUUGGAAACGACUGCUAAUACCCCUUAUGCCGAAAGGUAAAACUAAUUUCGCCUGGGGAUGAGCUCGCGUCUGAUUAGCUUGUUGGUGGGGUAACGGCCUACCAAGGCUUCGAUCAGUAGCUGGUCUGAGAGGACGAUCAGCCACACUGGGACUGAGACACGGCCCAGACUCCUACGGGAGGCAGCAGUGGGGAAUUUUCCGCAGUGGGCGCAAGCCUGACGGAGCAACGCCGCGUGAGGGAUGAAGGCCUUUGGGCUGUAAACCUCUUUUCUCAAGGAAGAAGAUCUGACGGUACUUGAGGAAUAAGCCACGGCUAAUUCCGUGCCAGCAGCCGCGGUAAUACGGGAGUGGCAAGCGUUAUCCGGAAUUAUUGGGCGUAAAGCGUCCGCAGGCGGCCGUUUAAGUCUGUUGUUAAAUCGUAGAGCUCAACUCUAUCACGGCAAUGGAAACUGUUCGGCUUGAGUAUGGUAGGGGCAGAGGGAAUUUCCGGUGUAGUGGUGAAAUGCGUAGAUAUCGGGAAGAACACCAGUGGCAAAAGCGCUCUGCUGGGCCAUUACUGACGCUCAUGGACGAAAGCCAGGGGAGCGAAAGGGAUUAGAUACCCCUGUAGUCCUGGCCGUAAACGAUGAACACUAGAUGUUGGGGGAAUCGACCCCUUCGGUGUCGUAGCUAACGCGUUAAGUGUUCCGCCUGGGGAGUACGCACGCAAGUGUGAAACUCAAAGGAAUUGACGGGGGCCCGCACAAGCGGUGGAGUAUGUGGUUU
This 834-nucleotide ribosomal RNA is filed under the name uncultured bacterium. Its description in RNAcentral is "bacterial SSU rRNA". It matches the Rfam family "Bacterial small subunit ribosomal RNA", at positions 76 to 947 of the family's 1533-position model. The record is from RNAcentral.